AGAGUUUGAUCAUGGCUCAGAUUGAACGCUGGCGGCAUGCCUUACACAUGCAAGUCGAACGGCAGCACGGGUGCUUGCACCUGGUGGCGAGUGGCGAACGGGUGAGUAAUAUAUCGGAACGUACCCUAGAGUGGGGGAUAACGUAGCGAAAGUUACGCUAAUACCGCAUACGAUCUACGGAUGAAAGUGGGGGAUCGCAAGACCUCAUGCUCAUGGAGCGGCCGAUAUCUGAUUAGCUAGUUGGUGGGGUAAAAGCCUACCAAGGCGACGAUCAGUAGCUGGUCUGAGAGGACGACCAGCCACACUGGAACUGAGACACGGUCCAGACUCCUACGGGAGGCAGCAGUGGGGAAUUUUGGACAAUGGGGGCAACCCUGAUCCAGCAAUGCCGCGUGAGUGAAGAAGGCCUUCGGGUUGUAAAGCUCUUUUGUCAGGGAAGAAACGGGAUUUUCUAAUACAAAGUCCUAAUGACGGUACCUGAAGAAUAAGCACCGGCUAACUACGUGCCAGCAGCCGCGGUAAUACGUAGGGUGCAAGCGUUAAUCGGAAUUACUGGGCGUAAAGCGUGCGCAGGCGGUUGUGCAAGACAGAUGUGAAAUCCCCGGGCUCAACCUGGGAAUUGCAUUUGUGACUGCACGGCUAGAGUGUGUCAGAGGGGGGUAGAAUUCCACGUGUAGCAGUGAAAUGCGUAGAGAUGUGGAGGAAUACUGAUGGCGAAGGCAGCCCCCUGGGAUAACACUGACGCUCAUGCACGAAAGCGUGGGGAGCAAACAGGAUUAGAUACCCUGGUAGUCCACGCCCUAAACGAUGUCUACUAGUUGUCGGGUCUUAAUUGACUUGGUAACGCAGCUAACGCGUGAAGUAGACCGCCUGGGGAGUACGGUCGCAAGAUUAAAACUCAAAGGAAUUGACGGGGACCCGCACAAGCGGUGGAUGAUGUGGAUUAAUUCGAUGCAACGCGAAAAACCUUACCUACCCUUGACAUGUACGGAACUUACCAGAGAUGGUUUGGUGCUCGAAAGAGAACCGUAACACAGGUGCUGCAUGGCUGUCGUCAGCUCGUGUCGUGAGAUGUUGGGUUAAGUCCCGCAACGAGCGCAACCCUUGUCAUUAGUUGCUACGAAAGGGCACUCUAAUGAGACUGCCGGUGACAAACCGGAGGAAGGUGGGGAUGACGUCAAGUCCUCAUGGCCCUUAUGGGUAGGGCUUCACACGUCAUACAAUGGUACAUACAGAGGGCCGCCAACCCGCGAGGGGGAGCUAAUCCCAGAAAGUGUAUCGUAGUCCGGAUUGUAGUCUGCAACUCGACUACAUGAAGUUGGAAUCGCUAGUAAUCGCGGAUCAGCAUGUCGCGGUGAAUACGUUCCCGGGUCUUGUACACACCGCCCGUCACACCAUGGGAGCGGGUUUCACCAGAAGUAGGUAGCCUAACCGCAAGGAGGGCGCUUACCACGGUGGGAUUCGUGACUGGGGUGAAGUCGUAACAAGGUA
This 1491-nucleotide ribosomal RNA is filed under the name metagenome. RNAcentral's name for it is "bacterial SSU rRNA". It matches the Rfam family "Bacterial small subunit ribosomal RNA". The record is from RNAcentral.